GAUGAACGCUGGCGGCGUGCCUAAUACAUGCCAGUCGAGCGAACAGACGAGGAGCUUGCUCCUAUGACGUUAGCGGCGGACGGGUGAUUAACACGUGGAUAACCUACCUAUAAGACUGGGAUAACUUCGGGAAACCGGAGCUAAUACCCGAUAAUAUAUUGAACUGGAUGGUUCAAUAGUGGAAGACGGUUUUGCUGACACUUAUAGCUUGAUCCGCGCCGCAUUAGCUAGUUGGUAAGGUAACGGCUUACCAAGGCGACGAUGCGUAGCCGACCUGAGAGGGUGAUCGGCCACCCUGGAACUGAGACACGGUCCAGACUCCUACGCGAGGCAGCAGUCGGGAAUCUUCCGCAAUGGGCGAAAGCCGGACGUAGCAACGCCGCGUGAGUGAUGAAGGUCUUCGGAUCGUAAAACUCUGUUAUUAGGGAAGAACAAAUGUGUAAGUAACUAUGCACGUCUUGACGGUACCUAAUGAGAAAGCCACGGCUAACUACGUG
Molecule: ribosomal RNA, 497 nt
Filed under: uncultured bacterium
Lineage: Bacteria
Description: partial 16S ribosomal RNA
Rfam family: Bacterial small subunit ribosomal RNA
Source: RNAcentral